GACAGCUGUGCUUGGGCAGGGGGAAACCAGAGGAAACUCUGGCGGACGUCCUUAGUGGCCCUCUCGUGCAAACUGGUCAUCUCAGCUGAAUACUGGGGCAAAAGAGUAAUUGAACCAUGUAGUAGCU
This 127-nucleotide non-coding RNA is filed under the name Felis catus (domestic cat). RNAcentral's name for it is "Eukaryotic large subunit ribosomal RNA". It matches the Rfam family "Eukaryotic large subunit ribosomal RNA", at positions 826 to 952 of the family's 3401-position model. The record is from Rfam by way of RNAcentral. Lineage: Eukaryota; Metazoa; Chordata; Mammalia; Carnivora; Felidae.